GGUCAAGUGAAGAAGCGCAUACGGUGGAUGCCUUGGCAGUCAGAGGCGAUGAAAGACGUGGUAGCCUGCGAAAAGCUUCGGGGAGUCGGCAAACAGACUUUGAUCCGGAGAUGUCUGAAUGGGGGAACCCAGCCAUCAUAAGAUGGUUAUCUUGUACUGAAUACAUAGGUGCAAGAGGCGAACCAGGGGAACUGAAACAUCUAAGUACCCUGAGGAAAAGAAAUCAACCGAGAUUCCCUUAGUAGUGGCGAGCGAACGGGGACUAGCCCUUAAGUGGCUUUGAGAUUAGCGGAACGCUCUGGAAAGUGCGGCCAUAGUGGGUGAUAGCCCUGUACGCGAAAAUCUCUUGGUCAUGAAAUCGAGUAGGACGGAGCACGAGAAACUUUGUCUGAAUAUGGGGGGACCAUCCUCCAAGGCUAAAUACUACUGACUGACCGAUAGUGAACUAGUACCGUGAGGGAAAGGCGAAAAGAACCCCGGAGAGGGGAGUGAAAUAGAUCCUGAAACCGUAUGCGUACAAGCAGUGGGAGCCCACUUUGUUGGGUGACUGCGUACCUUUUGUAUAAUGGGUCAGCGACUUAUUUUCAGUGGCGAGCUUAACCGAAUAGGGGAGGCGUAGCGAAAGCGAGUCUUAAUAGGGCGUCUAGUCGCUGGGAAUAGACCCGAAACCGGGCGAUCUAUCCAUGGGCAGGUUGAAGGUUAGGUAACACUGACUGGAGGACCGAACCGACUACCGUUGAAAAGUUAGCGGAUGACCUGUGGAUCGGAGUGAAAGGCUAAUCAAGCUCGGAGAUAGCUGGUUCUCCUCGAAAGCUAUUUAGGUAGCGCCUCAUGUAUCACUGUAGGGGGUAGAGCACUGUUUCGGCUAGGGGGUCAUCCCGACUUACCAAACCGAUGCAAACUCCGAAUACCUACAAGUGCCGAGCAUGGGAGACACACGGCGGGUGCUAACGUCCGUCGUGAAAAGGGAAACAACCCAGACCGUCAGCUAAGGUCCCAAAGUUAUGGUUAAGUGGGAAACGAUGUGGGAAGGCUUAGACAGCUAGGAGGUUGGCUUAGAAGCAGCCACCCUUUAAAGAAAGCGUAAUAGCUCACUAGUCGAGUCGGCCUGCGCGGAAGAUGUAACGGGGCUCAAACCAUACACCGAAGCUACGGGUAUCACGUAAGUGAUGCGGUAGAGGAGCGUUCUGUAAGCCUGUGAAGGUGAGUUGAGAAGCUUGCUGGAGGUAUCAGAAGUGCGAAUGCUGACAUGAGUAACGACAAUGGGUGUGAAAAACACCCACGCCGAAAGACCAAGGUUUCCUGCGCAACGUUAAUCGACGCAGGGUUAGUCGGUCCCUAAGGCGAGGCUGAAAAGCGUAGUCGAUGGAAAACAGGUUAAUAUUCCUGUACUUCUGGUUAUUGCGAUGGAGGGACGGAGAAGGCUAGGCCAGCUUGGCGUUGGUUGUCCAAGUUUAAGGUGGUAGGCUGAGAUCUUAGGUAAAUCCGGGAUCUUAAGGCCGAGAGCUGAUGACGAGUUACCCUUUGGGUGACGAAGUGGUUGAUGCCAUGCUUCCAAGAAAAGCUUCUAAGCUUCAGGUAACCAGGAACCGUACCCCAAACCGACACAGGUGGUUGGGUAGAGAAUACCAAGGCGCUUGAGAGAACUCGGGUGAAGGAACUAGGCAAAAUGGCACCGUAACUUCGGGAGAAGGUGCGCCGGUGAGGGUGAAGGACUUGCUCCGUAAGCUCAUGCCGGUCGAAGAUACCAGGCCGCUGCGACUGUUUAUUAAAAACACAGCACUCUGCAAACACGAAAGUGGACGUAUAGGGUGUGACGCCUGCCCGGUGCCGGAAGGUUAAUUGAUGGGGUUAGCUAACGCGAAGCUCUUGAUCGAAGCCCCGGUAAACGGCGGCCGUAACUAUAACGGUCCUAAGGUAGCGAAAUUCCUUGUCGGGUAAGUUCCGACCUGCACGAAUGGCGUAACGAUGGCGGCGCUGUCUCCACCCGAGACUCAGUGAAAUUGAAAUCGCUGUGAAGAUGCAGUGUAUCCGCGGCUAGACGGAAAGACCCCGUGAACCUUUACUAUAGCUUUGCACUGGACUUUGAAUUUGCUUGUGUAGGAUAGGUGGGAGGCUUUGAAGCGUGGACGCCAGUUCGCGUGGAGCCAUCCUUGAAAUACCACCCUGGCAACUUUGAGGUUCUAACUCAGGUCCGUUAUCCGGAUCGAGGACAGUGUAUGGUGGGUAGUUUGACUGGGGCGGUCUCCUCCUAAAGAGUAACGGAGGAGUACGAAGGUGCGCUCAGACCGGUCGGAAAUCGGUCGUAGAGUAUAAAGGCAAAAGCGCGCUUGACUGCGAGACAGACACGUCGAGCAGGUACGAAAGUAGGUCUUAGUGAUCCGGUGGUUCUGUAUGGAAGGGCCAUCGCUCAACGGAUAAAAGGUACUCCGGGGAUAACAGGCUGAUACCGCCCAAGAGUUCAUAUCGACGGCGGUGUUUGGCACCUCGAUGUCGGCUCAUCACAUCCUGGGGCUGAAGCCGGUCCCAAGGGUAUGGCUGUUCGCCAUUUAAAGUGGUACGCGAGCUGGGUUUAGAACGUCGUGAGACAGUUCGGUCCCUAUCUGCCGUGGACGUUUGAGAUUUGAGAGGGGCUGCUCCUAGUACGAGAGGACCGGAGUGGACGAACCUCUGGUGUUCCGGUUGUCACGCCAGUGGCAUUGCCGGGUAGCUAUGUUCGGGAAAGAUAACCGCUGAAAGCAUCUAAGCGGGAAACUUGCCUCAAGAUGAGAUCUCACUGGAACCUUGAGUUCCCUGAAGGGCCGUCGAAGACUACGACGUUGAUAGGUUGGGUGUGUAAGCGCUGUGAGGCGUUGAGCUAACCAAUACUAAUUGCCCGUGAGGCUUGACCAU
RNAcentral lists this ribosomal RNA (2892 nucleotides) under Pseudomonas sp. TH49. RNAcentral's name for it is "23S ribosomal RNA". It matches the Rfam family "Bacterial large subunit ribosomal RNA". Lineage: Bacteria; Pseudomonadati; Pseudomonadota; Gammaproteobacteria; Pseudomonadales; Pseudomonadaceae. RNAcentral also lists the same sequence under 1 other name. The record is from RNAcentral.